CUUUUCUUUUUGCAUGUCAAGAUAUUGCGGAGCAGAACUCAAAAGCUGCUUCAGAUUCUGAAAAAUUACUUUGUGUCCUUAUGGAUCUUUUCAUCUGAAGAAGAUAAAGUAAUUUAAAAAUGUGAAAUCUUUCAAGCUCCAAAGCUUUAUGCUUUCAGAUAACAACUGCAACCGGGUAUAUGAGUCUGAGAAGAGUUUGCCAACUGAUCAGUGAAAUUUGGGGAUUUUUCUAUUACAUUAUCAAGGAUAUUGCUGGCAUCUGUGGUAGUGCCCAGAAGAUAUCCAGAUUUGCUGACUGGCUGGAGUUAAGCUGCUGCUUCUUUAAUUACUGCUCUCUUCAGCCAGUCCUUGUGGAGAAGAACUUUGGGUAUGCUGCUCUACCGGUAUUUAUGGAGGUCUGUGAUGAGUUGAUGCUGGUUGGCUGCCAAAUGCCCAUCAAAGGCCUUGUAUCACUCCUGAGAUGGACAGGGGAGAGAAAAUACAAGGAAAGGUUUGUGAAUUGAGGUAAUGGCAGGAACAGAUCACUCACCAAUUAUGGACUCAACUUUGGGGAAAAAAAUAAAAAUAUUAAUCAAAUCA
This 579-nucleotide long non-coding RNA is filed under the name Zonotrichia albicollis (white-throated sparrow). Its description in RNAcentral is "lncRNA (ENSZALG00000003918.1)". Lineage: Eukaryota; Metazoa; Chordata; Aves; Passeriformes; Passerellidae. The record is from RNAcentral.